GUAAGUGACUUGCGUGUCCGAUAGCAAGUUACAAGUUUUUUGUUUAAUACAUCGAUUGCAACACUUUUGCAUGGUCACCUUGCCACUGAAUACCCUGAAAUUGUGUUUCAAAUAUUGAAACAUUUUAGCGGAGGCGCUUCAGAAGAAAAUCUUAAAGACCGCCUCGAUUAAUGUGGCUGGAAUAACGCUAGCUAGUUUAUUUAUCAUUCCUAGUAACUCAAAAACAUCUGACUUUUAUAGUCCAAGUGAUCACUGUGUCUGCUGAGUAAAUAACACUCACCAAACCUAAUGUUAUUUUUGAAGGAAUUCAACACGGGUACACGUCAACCCUAUGUGUGAAUGCUAGCAUGGAGUUUAGGAAGUUAGCUUGUCUGCCUAGCAGGCCAUUAUCUGCUUGAGCUGGUUGGCGAGAGUUUUCGACGUAUGUUAACUUGGACUUCUGGAAUUGUACCAUUUGAAGUGAGACUGUGCCCUUUAUGUACUGCUCUUAGUUGGCAUUAAAUAACUUAGAUAUUGUGCAUUUCCCGCCCAGCACGUGUUCCUUUGGUCCAGCCAUGUUUAACCCGGGUGCAAGUGGAUGGAAAGUUCUAGAACAACGAAGUGGCUACAAGAUCACGGAAUGGUCUACUGACGAGAAUCGUACGACAUAGUUGACUCCACCAGGCUGUCUGUAGGAUGCGGCCAUGUCAGUCCCCAGGGGACCUUGAGUCUGGACACCAGUGAAUUGAUGUGGUGGCCACGCCUCCUGUACUGUGACUUCAUCUGAUAUUUGCAAGACUUUGCACAAGUCAAUUUAUAAGACUUGUACUUUCAUAUAUAUUUUUUUUGUGAAUUGCAUGUCAUGCUUUAGAAAAAGCAGUGGAAUAAAA
This is a long non-coding RNA of Clupea harengus (Atlantic herring), 869 nucleotides long. NCBI's taxonomy places the organism in Eukaryota, Metazoa, Chordata, Actinopteri, Clupeiformes, Clupeidae. The record is from Ensembl.